RNAcentral lists this transfer RNA (49 nucleotides) under Rattus rattus (black rat). RNAcentral's name for it is "partial tRNA-Leu". Lineage: Eukaryota; Metazoa; Chordata; Mammalia; Rodentia; Muridae. The record is from RNAcentral.
CNAUUGGUCUUAGGAACCAAAAACCUUGGUGCAACUCCAAAUAAAAGUA